CCGCAGCUAUNGUAAUGNGUACGAGGCUAGUGNUAAUUGGAGNUACUNAGCGUACAGCUUGCGCGUGUGGUAUUGUAAGUGUGUCAUCACAUCCCUCGGCUCAACAUGGGAAUGGAGAUGGGCACUGCAAGACUAGAGUUUGGCAGAGGGGGGUAGAAUUCCACGUGUAGCAGUGAAAUGUGUAGAUAUGAGCAGCAACACCGAUGGCGAAGGCAGCCCCCUGAGUCAAAACUGACGCUCAUGCACGAAAGGGUCGGGCGCAAACAGGUUCCGAUACCGUGCUAGUCCACGCCGUAAUCGAUGUGUAGUAGUGAUCGGGUAUCUAUUGNGCUUCGUAACGCAGGUAACGCGUGAAGUACACCGCGUGUGGAGUACCGUGGCAAGAUUUAAACUCAAAGGAAUUGACGCGGCCCCGCACAAGCGGCGUAUGAUGUGGAUUAAUUCGACGCGACGCGCAAAACCUUACCUACCCAUGCCAUGGACGGAAUUCAGGAGAGAUUUGGCAGUGCCCGAGGGAGCCAUUACACACAUGGCGCAUGGCAGUUGUCAGCUUGUGUCGUGAGAUGUUGGCCUAAGUCCCGCACCGACCGCAACCCUUGUCAUCAGCUGGUANAGNNAAANNNNGAGCACUCUAAUGAGACUGCCGGUGACAAACCGGAGGAAGGUGGGGAUGACGUCAAGUCCUCAUGGCCCUUAUGGCUAGGGCUUCACACGUCAUACAAUGGUACAUACAGAGGGCCGCCAACCCGCGAGGGGGAGCUAAUCGCACAAACUGUAUCGUAGUCCGGAUUGCAGUCUGCAACUCGACUGCAUGAAGUUGGAAUCGCUAGUAAUCGCGGAUCAGCAUGUCGCGGUGAAUACGUUCCCGGGCCUUGUACACACCGCCCGUCACACCAUGGGAGCGGGNUUCACCAGAAGUAGG
This 922-nucleotide ribosomal RNA is filed under the name bacterium TF5_22_MR-2014. RNAcentral's name for it is "bacterial SSU rRNA". It matches the Rfam family "Bacterial small subunit ribosomal RNA", at positions 509 to 1430 of the family's 1533-position model. The record is from RNAcentral.